GAUGAACGCUAGCGGGAGGCCUAACACAUGCAAGCCGAGCGGUAUUGUUUCUUCGGAAAUGAGAGAGCGGCGUACGGUGCGGAACACGUGUGCAACCUGCCUUUAUCUGGGGGAUAGCCUUUCGAAAGGAAGAUUAAUACUCCAUAACAUAUUGAACGGCAUCGUUUAAUAUUGAAAGCUCAGGCGGAUAGAGGUGGGCACGCGCAAGAUUAGCUAGUUGGUGAGGUAACGGCUCACCAAGGCAAUGAUCUUUAGGGGGCCUGAGAGGGUGAUCCCCCACACUGGUACUGAGACACGGACCAGACUCCUACGGGAGGCAGCAGUGAGGAAUAUUGGUCAAUGGGUGCAAGCCUGAACCAGCCAUCCCGCGUGAAGGACGAACUGCCCUAUGGGUUGUAAACUUCUUUUGUAUAGGGAUAAACCUUUCCACGUGUGGAAAGCUGAAGGUACUAUACGAAUAAGCACCGGCUAACUCCGUGCCAGCAGCCGCGGUAA
Molecule: ribosomal RNA, 495 nt
Filed under: uncultured bacterium
Lineage: Bacteria
Description: bacterial SSU rRNA
Rfam family: Bacterial small subunit ribosomal RNA
Source: RNAcentral